CAAUUGUUUAGAGGUUAUUUCAUCUUACCUUGCUAUAUUACAAUGUUGAUUUCGUUUCACACUUCUCCAAUCCUAACCCCCCUUUAGUAAUCGGACCCCGCACCACAAUGUUUUCAUUCCUGCGUUAGUAAACAAAUGAGCAUUCCCAUUUUUGUUUAGUAAACACGCCCUAAUAUUGGGCCUGUCCCGGCCCAUGCAGACUGCCAAGCCACCUUCAUUUGUUUUUUUUUGGUCUGAGCCAAGCCACCUUCAUUUUCCUCAAUUAAAAACAAAAGGAGCGCGUAUUGCAUUUUAGUGCGCUGAACAGUAUUCUCUGCUCUGCUCUGCUCAUCAAGAUCCGAACCGACCUUCACUACAACGCCGCUCUGUGCUCAUCUCAAUGACUAAAUCCUCUCCGCCACCUACUCCUAGCGUUUCUCGGAGUUCAUCACCGGCGUCAAGAAAGAAAUCAACAGUUGCGUGGAGUCACCGAUCGAUGAUCUACGAAUCUCAAUCACCGAGACGAGCUCGUCUCGCUUUGCGAAACUCGUUAGGGUUUCCAAUUGUUGGUACCGUAUCGGCCAGAAGAUGAUCGACGGAUCUGACGCAGUUUCGAAGAUGGCGUUCAAGUCGAAUGGGCCAGAAGUUUUAGGAGUUCGAUUGCAAGAGGAUAAGGAGACUAGGAAUUCGAUUCUCUCCGUCUUCAGGAAGAUGCGGAACUCGUUAAUGGCGAGGUCAUUUGGUUAUUGCGGUGGAGAAAUUCUGUAGGCCGUGGCCUCGAGUUCGUCUGAGGCAUCCAAGUUGUUUGGUGGUUUCAGUGGGACGGUUGCGGAUAGCAAUGGGAAGAGGUUCGCGCGGGAGCUUCAUUUGUGGUUUUGCAAUUGGUGCAGUUGUCGAUCUUCAUAAUGCAGACGGAGGACGAUGACGAAGAAGGUGAGAGACUGAAGACUCCAAAAUUCAUAUGAUGAUGAUGAUGAUGAUGAUGAGGAAAAAAAAGAAAGCAAAAGAGGAAAUUUUCGAGAUGGGACGGAAUAGAGGAAAUAUUGAGAAUGUGGGCCCAAAAUAUUGCGCCCUGGUCCUACCCACGGCUCAAUAAAUUGGACACAGCACAGAAACCGGCCCAAUAAUCGGAAAAUAGGUAUAAAGUCA
This is a long non-coding RNA of Prunus dulcis (almond), 1128 nucleotides long. RefSeq lists it as uncharacterized. The transcript is spliced from 2 exons. The record is from RefSeq and is a predicted model, not a curated record. NCBI's taxonomy places the organism in Eukaryota, Viridiplantae, Streptophyta, Magnoliopsida, Rosales, Rosaceae.